AUUGGUCCAAAUUUCCUAGUAUGAAAACGAUCAAAUCAGGCCCUCUGUAGAUACAUACACCUUCAAUUCCGCUUCUCUCACAUACAUUACAAUUACUUAAAUAGAACCCCAAUUUCUUAAUGGGGUUCUGCUCUAAUCAAGAUUUGGUCAAUCUUUCAUUAUCAUAUAGGCCUUAGUUCUUCAGCAAGAUUUUGUGAUUUAAUUUGGCCUCUCAAACCAAACUUCCAUUGGAUUGAAUAAUGUGGAUGAAUUGAUAAUGGGAAGUUUUCUUCGUGGUUUUGUGCUGCCAUCUCUGCUCUUAUCAGCUGGUUUACUCAAUUGGAGUUUGAUUUCUCUUGUCAAUUUGGUGUCUUCUCUUCUUCUGCGAUUUACUGCACCAAAAAGAGGAUUCCGUUUCAAAGGGAGAGUUCUGUUGUGGUUUGUUUUUCUAUUUUCAGUUCUUACUAUUCUGCUGGAAGUGGUUUUUCUUAUUGUAU
Molecule: non-coding RNA, 476 nt
Organism: Nicotiana tabacum (common tobacco)
Lineage: Eukaryota; Viridiplantae; Streptophyta; Magnoliopsida; Solanales; Solanaceae
Source: RefSeq, a predicted model, not a curated record